RNAcentral lists this ribosomal RNA (903 nucleotides) under uncultured marine bacterium. RNAcentral describes it as "bacterial SSU rRNA". It matches the Rfam family "Bacterial small subunit ribosomal RNA", at positions 8 to 916 of the family's 1533-position model. The record is from RNAcentral.
AGAGUUGAUCCUGGCUCAGGAUGAACGCUAGCGGCAGCUAACACAUGCAAGUCGAGGGGUAGAGUUAGCUUGCUAACUUGAGACCGGCGCACGGGUGCGUAACGCGUAUGCAAUCUACCUUGUACAGGGGGAUAGCCCAGAGAAAUUUGGAUUAAUACCCCAUAGUAUAUUUGAAUCGCAUGGUUUAAAUAUUAAAGUUCCAACGGUACAAGAUGAGCAUGCGUCCCAUUAGCUAGAUGGUAAGGUAACGGCUUACCAUGGCAAUGAUGGGUAGGGGUCCUGAGAGGGAGAUCCCCCACACUGGUACUGAGACACGGACCAGACUCCUACGGGAGGCAGCAGUGAGGAAUAUUGGUCAAUGGACGCAAGUCUGAACCAGCCAUGCCGCGUGCAGGAAGACGGUCCUAUGGAUUGUAAACUGCUUUUAUACAGGAAGAAACAACUCUACGUGUAGAGUCUUGACGGUACUGUAGGAAUAAGGAUCGGCUAACUCCGUGCCAGCAGCCGCGGUAAUACGGAGGAUCCAAGCGUUAUCCGGAAUCAUUGGGUUUAAAGGGUCCGUAGGCGGCCUUAUAAGUCAGUGGUGAAAUCUCCUAGCUCAACUAGGAAACUGCCAUUGAUACUGUAGGGCUUGAAUUCUUAUGAAGUAACUAGAAUAUGUAGUGUAGCGGUGAAAUGCUUAGAUAUUACAUGGAAUACCAAUUGCGAAGGCAGGUUACUAAUAAGACAUUGACGCUGAUGGACGAAAGCGUGGGGAGCGAACAGGGUUAGAUACCCUGGUAGUCCACGCCGUAAACGAUGGAUACUAGCUGUUCGGACGCAAGUUUGAGUGGCUAAGCGAAAGUGAUAAGUAUCCCACCUGGGGAGUACGCACGCAAGUGUGAAACUCAAAGGAAUUGACGG